UGGACGCUUAUUCAUUACAGCCAUUUCGAAGGUAGUGCCACAGGCAGUCCGGGUAGUCUCGGCAGCCUCAGUGCCAGUCGCCAUAGGAGUUACCGUGGCAACGGUUGGUGUAUUGGUAGUGAAGAACUUGCCCAGACGCGAUGAGUUCCCAGAAGGACGGUCCCAAGCAGGACGGUCCCAAGCAGAACGGUCCCAAGCAGGACGGUCCCAAGCACGGUCCAAGCAGGACGGUCCCAAG
This is a non-coding RNA of Penaeus vannamei (Pacific white shrimp), 238 nucleotides long. The record is from RefSeq and is a predicted model, not a curated record. NCBI's taxonomy places the organism in Eukaryota, Metazoa, Arthropoda, Malacostraca, Decapoda, Penaeidae.